This 450-nucleotide ribosomal RNA is filed under the name uncultured bacterium. RNAcentral describes it as "partial 16S ribosomal RNA". It matches the Rfam family "Bacterial small subunit ribosomal RNA", at positions 354 to 796 of the family's 1533-position model. The record is from RNAcentral.
GUGGGGAAUUUUGGACAAUGGGCGCAAGCCUGAUCCAGCCAUGCCGCGUGCAGGAUGAAGGCCUUCGGGUUGUAAACUGCUUUUGUACGGAACGAAACGGCUCUUUCUAAUAAAGAGGGCUAAUGACGGUACCGUAAGAAUAAGCACCGGCUAACUACGUGCCAGCAGCCGCGGUAAUACGUAGGGUGCGAGCGUUAAUCGGAAUUACUGGGCGUAAAGCGUGCGCAGGCGGUGAUGUAAGACAGAUGUGAAAGCCCCGGGCUCAACCUGGGAACUGCAUUUGUGACUGCAUCGCUGGAGUGCGGCAGAGGGGGAUGGAAUUCCGCGUGUAGCAGUGAAAUGCGUAGAUAUGCGGAGGAACACCGAUGGCGAAGGCAAUCCCCUGGGCCUGCACUGACGCUCAUGCACGAAAGCGUGGGGAGCAAACAGGAUUAGAAACCCGGGUAGUCC